RNAcentral lists this long non-coding RNA (1225 nucleotides) under Solanum tuberosum (potato). Its description in RNAcentral is "long non-coding RNA (STUB_LNC010682)". The record is from RNAcentral. Lineage: Eukaryota; Viridiplantae; Streptophyta; Magnoliopsida; Solanales; Solanaceae.
UUUCCAGAAAAGGUGGGCCUGGUUUCUCAAGCCUAGUCAUUUUUAAUAGCUUGAGCAAUAGCAAUGGUUUGGAACAGAAUAGAUACAUCUCUAUUGAAACUCCAGAAGUUCAAUAUCUCCCGGGAACCUAUGUUGCUCGGACUCUUCAAAAAUGCCAACGGAUGCGUGUCGGAUUCGCCAAAAGUAGUGUAUUUUUGGAGAAUCCGAGACGGGUGCGGCAUCAAAAGUGAAGAGUCGGCGCAACUAAGCCGGGAGCAGAGUCAGCAACCAUGCAGAUUAGAAAUCUAUCGAUAAUUGAGGAGAGGGAGACAACAAAUGUGUGGAUAGAAGGUGUGUCAGGAAAAGUAACAGUAGAAGUUGAGCAGCAAUUAAUAGAACAGCUGACAGGGAGUUAGGGGAGAAAGAGACCGACAAUAUCGAAAAUAGAUUAAUUGAGGCUGGGAGAGAAACUUACUUACUAUAGUAGGGGAAUGGGAUAUUGAGGAGGCAGAACCACUGCAAGUCCAGCAACAACAAUCGAUAAUAUGCAAGGGAAGAGAAACAUCAUUGUGGGUGAAGCAGAAUAUGAUCAAACUAGGCAAAGUUCUUAGAGCAGAUUUUCAAGGACUUGAAGAAGAAGCUCUGGAACUACUUCUACAGGUUGAUAGUUCUCGACAAGCCAGAAGAAUGGAGAAUGUGAAUUUCUGUAAGAAGACAAGAUUUAGAGGUUCUCAAGAGCUAAAAAGUCUUGUGUCUUUUGAUGUCAAAUUCAAAAACAAUGGGGAUAGGAGCAAGGGGAGAAGUGAAACAAGCAGUAAUUGAUGAAGUUCAAACUUGUCUCAUGGAAUGUUACGGGGUUGAACAAUACGGAUAAAGGAGAUUGGUUAAGAUUUUAGUGAUAGAAUGGAAUGUAGACAUUAUUUGUCUGCAAGAAACUAAACUAGAGGGGAAUUUAUAUGAGGAGGUGAAACAAAUUUGGGGAGGUCGAUGGGUUAGAUUUGCUUGCUUAGAAGCUAGUGGCACCAGAGGGGGUAUACUGUUGCUACGGGACAGCAAGGCAUGGAAGGGAGAAAUCAUGGAAAUAGGUGCUUACUCAUAACCUGCAAAUUUGAGGCACAAUUGCAAGACUUCUCUUGUCAUAUCACUGGGGUAUAUGCUCCUAACUGCUACAUAGAAAGAAGAUUUGGUAUGGGAGGAGAUAGGGGCAGUAAGGGGUCUGAUGGAAGGUCCUUGGGUAGUAUGUGGG